AUCCGGCUCACUGUGUCUUUUGAAGAUCUGCAUAGAAUGAAAUCCCUCAGAAGGUUCUAGAGGAUUUGCUCUCUCUGCGUCUGUGAGUUGCUCAUCAGUGACUUGACCUCAGAUUCAGACUGCAGCUGUACCACCCUCAACUCUCCGGGGUCUCGGGCUUGCCGAUAGCGCCGUGUUGGGACUGUUCAGAACCAUAUCUGUUGUCCUUACUUGAAGGCCCCCUACCUUAACAACCUGCAGCUACUCCAGUCUUGAGUUCAUCCUCUGUGAACUUAGAUGGUGUGACACCUCGUGGAAGAUGAGAGCCUUCCUGUCUCUGGACGCACAUCCUGAGGAUGGUACCUUUGCUGUGCUUUCGACCACGAGAUAUCCCACCAAGUAGGAAUGAUUGAUCCAGUAGAGACUGCUACAGGGUUCCACUGAGGAAUUGUCUCUAAGCUCCAUCUCCAUUUGCUACAAGGCCCUUCAACUGUGGAAGACAUGGAGGAUGCCACUGCUGGAGGUCCCAGAGAGUCCUUGAGAGCAUGGGCCGGUUGUUAGCACUGAGAGGAGGUAUGUGUGAACUCAGUGAUGGUGACAGAUAUUCCAAGACCACUGAAGCCCGAACCACACAGCAGCUAGUCUCAAAGUCCCUGGGCCAAUAGGUUUCAGUGAAGAUGUCUUGGGAACGUGGUGGUACAGCUCUAAAGGCCAUCUUUGAAGUACCAGUUUUUGUAUUAUUCUUGUGGGCAUACUAUUAGAGUUCACAGCUUAAGACUGGUUAACUGACAUAGCAAUGCCACCCUAGGAUUUGUUCAUUAGCAUAUCAAAGCCUGCUUGGCUCCUAUCAGACCUGCCUUGUGGCUAGCUCUUGCAAGCUUUACAUUAUUCCAAGCCACAUAAAAUGGUUUUUAAGUUAAACAAAUUGGCUUCACUUAUGUUCCCAACAAUUUUACACCCCCAUUAGCAAUAAU
Mesocricetus auratus (golden hamster) is the source of this 953-nucleotide long non-coding RNA. RefSeq lists it as uncharacterized. The record is from RefSeq and is a predicted model, not a curated record. The transcript has 3 exons. NCBI's taxonomy places the organism in Eukaryota, Metazoa, Chordata, Mammalia, Rodentia, Cricetidae.